This 440-nucleotide ribosomal RNA is filed under the name uncultured bacterium. RNAcentral describes it as "partial 16S ribosomal RNA". It matches the Rfam family "Bacterial small subunit ribosomal RNA", at positions 338 to 795 of the family's 1533-position model. The record is from RNAcentral.
CCUACGGGUGGCAGCAGUGGGGAAUAUUGCACAAUGGGGGAAACCCUGAUGCAGCGACGCCGCGUGAGUGAAGAAGUAUUUCGGUAUGUAAAGCUCUAUCAGCAGGGAAGAAAAUGACAGUACCUGACCAAGAAGCCCCGGCUAACUACGUGCCAGCAGCCGCGGUAAUACGUAGGGGGCACGCGUUAUCCGGAUUUACUGGGUGUAACGGGAGCGUAGACGGGUUGGUAAGUCCUGAGUGAAAGCCCGGGGCCCAACCCAGGGACUGCUUUGGAGACUGUGUAACUGGAGUACAGGAGGGGCAGGCGGAAUGCCUGGUGUAGCGGUGAAAUGCGUAGAUAUCAGGAGGAACACCGGUGGCGAAGGCGGCCUGCUGGACUGAAACUGACGUUGAGGCUCGAAAGCGUGGGGAGCAAACAGGAUUAGAUACCCCUGUAGUC